This 497-nucleotide ribosomal RNA is filed under the name uncultured bacterium. RNAcentral's name for it is "partial 16S ribosomal RNA". It matches the Rfam family "Bacterial small subunit ribosomal RNA", at positions 28 to 507 of the family's 1533-position model. The record is from RNAcentral.
GAUGAACGCUGGCGGCGUGCCUAAUACAUGCAAGUCGAGCGAACGGACGAGAAGCUUGCUUCUCUGAUGUUAGCGGCGGACGGGUGAGUAACACGUGGAUAACCUACCUAUAAGACUGGGAUAACUUCGGGAAACCGGAGCUAAUACCGGAUAAUAUUUUUAACCGCAUGGUUCAAAAGUGAAAGACGGUCUUGCUGUCACUUAUAGAUGGAUCCGCGCUGCAUUAGCUAGUUGGUAAGGUAACGGCUUACCAAGGCAACGAUGCAUAGCCGACCUGAGAGGGUGAUCGGCCACACUAGAACUUAGACACGGACCAGACUCCUACGAGAGGCAGCAGUAGCGAAUCUUCCGCAAUGGGCGAAAGCCUUACGGAGCAACGGCGCGUGAGUGAUGAAGGUCUUCGGAUCGUAAAACUCUGUUAUUAGGGAAGAACAUAUGUGUAAGUAACUGUGCACAUCGUGACGGUACCUAAACAGAAAGCCACGGCUAACUACGUG